This is a long non-coding RNA of Zophobas morio, 284 nucleotides long. RefSeq lists it as uncharacterized. Lineage: Eukaryota; Metazoa; Arthropoda; Insecta; Coleoptera; Tenebrionidae. The transcript has 3 exons. The record is from RefSeq and is a predicted model, not a curated record.
AGAAUUAGAAAGGUCUCUCUCGGGGAAAGAGGGCGAACAGGUACUAUAUACCAAGACUUUUUGGUUUGUUUGUUGUGAGCGCAACCACGUGCGGUACUUUUCCAACCUUGGAGUCCACCACUUACAUCUGAACUCAUUUCACCACAAAAAAACAUGUCAAUUUAAGAUGGAAUGUUUUGAGUUAUCACAAUCUUAUGCAUUGGAAAUAUGCAACUACCCUCCUUGAUUAGAAAAAAAACCUUAAUGUCAACUUGUGUGAAUUACAUUAUAUUGUGAUAAAUCAA